AGAGUUUGAUCCUGGCUCAGGAUGAACGCUGGCGGCGUGCCUAAUACAUGCAAGUCGAGCGAACAGAUAAGGAGCUUGCUCCUUUGACGUUAGCGGCGGACGGGUGAGUAACACGUGGGUAACUUACCUAUAAGACUGGAAUAACUCCGGGAAACCGGGGCUAAUGCCGGAUAACAUGUUGAACCGCAUGGUUCUACAGUGAAAGGCGGCUUUGCUGUCACUUAUAGAUGGACCCGCGCCGUAUUAGCUAGUUGGUGAGGUAACGGCUCACCAAGGCAACGAUACGUAGCCGACCUGAGAGGGUGAUCGGCCACACUGGAACUGAGACACGGUCCAGACUCCUACGGGAGGCAGCAGUAGGGAAUCUUCCGCAAUGGGCGAAAGCUGACGGAGCAACGCCGCGUGAGUGAUGAAGGUCUUCGGAUCGUAAAACUCUGUUAUUAGGGAAGAACAAAUGCGUAAGUAACUGUGCGCGUCUUGACGGUACCUAAUCAGAAAGCCACGGCUAACUACGUGCCAGCAGCCGCGGUAAUACGUAGGUGGCAAGCGUUAUCCGGAAUUAUUGGGCGUAAAGUGCGCGUAGGCGGUUUUUUAAGUCUGAUGUGAAAGCCCACGGCUCAACCGUGGAGGGUCAUUGGAAACUGAAAAACUUGAGUGCAGAAGAGGAAAGUGGAAUUCCAUGUGUAGCGGUGAAAUGCGCAGAGAUAUGGAGGAACACCAGUGGCGAAGGCGACUUUCUGGUCUGUAACUGACGCUGAUGUGCGAAAGCGUGGGGAUCAAACAGGAUUAGAUACCCUAGUAGUCC
This 805-nucleotide ribosomal RNA is filed under the name uncultured bacterium. RNAcentral's name for it is "bacterial SSU rRNA". It matches the Rfam family "Bacterial small subunit ribosomal RNA", at positions 8 to 796 of the family's 1533-position model. The record is from RNAcentral.